UCAUGGAGGUAGAGCACUGUUUGGACUAGGGGCCCUUCUCGGGUUACCGAAUUCAGAUAAACUCCGAAUGCCAUGUACUUAUACUCGGGAGUCAGACUGCGAGUGAUAAGAUCCGUAGUCGAAAGGGAAACAGCCCAGACCACCAGUUAAGGUCCCCAAAUAUAUGUUAAGUGGAAAAGGAUGUGGGGUUGCUUAGACAACCAGGAUGUUGGCUUAGAAGCAGCCACCAUUGAAAGAGUGCGUAAUAGCUCACUGGUCGAGUGACCCCGCGCCGAAAAUGUACCGGGGCUAAACAUAUUACCGAAACUGUGGAUGAACCUCUUUAGAGGUUCGUGGUAGGAGAGCGUUCUAAGGGCGGUGAAGUCAGACCGGAAGGACUGGUGGAGCGCUUAGAAGUGAGAAUGCCGGUAUGAGUAGCGAAAGAAGGGUGAGAAUCCCUUCCACCGAAUAUCUAAGGUUUCCUGAGGAAGGCUCGUCCGCUCAGGGUUAGUCGGGACCUAAGCCGAGGCCGAUAGGCGUAGGCGAUGGACAACAGGUAGAGAUUCCUGUACCAGUGCUAAUUGUUUAACCGAUGGGGUGACACAGAAGGAUAGGGAAUCGCACGAAUGGAAAUGUGCGUCCAAGCAGUGAGUGUGAGAAGUAGGCAAAUCCGCUUCUCGCGAAGCAUGAGCUGUGAUGGGGAAGGAAAUUAAGUACGGAAGUUCCUGAUUUCACGCUGUCAAGAAAAGCCUCUAGGAAGAGUAGUACUGCCCGUACCGCAAACCGACACAGGUAGAUGAGGAGAGAAUCCUAAGGUGAGCGAGAGAACUCUCGUUAAGGAACUCGGCAAAAUGACCCCGUAACUUCGGGAGAAGGGGUGCUCUAUUAGGGUGCAAGCCCGAGAGAGCCGCAGUGAAUAGGCCCAGGCGACUGUUUAGCAAAAACACAGGUCUCUGCAAAACCGUAAGGUGACGUAUAGGGGCUGACGCCUGCCCGGUGCUGGAAGGUUAAGAGGAGUGCUUAGCUUCGGCGAAGGUACGAAUUGAAGCCCCAGUAAACGGCGGCCGUAACUAUAACGGUCCUAAGGUAGCGAAAUUCCUUGUCGGGUAAGUUCCGACCCGCACGAAAGGCGCAACGAUCUGGGCACUGUCUCAACGAGAGACUCGGUGAAAUUAUAGUACCUGUGAAGAUGCAGGUUACCCGCGACAGGACGGAAAGACCCCGUGGAGCUUUACUGCAACCUGAUAUGGAAUGUUUGUACCGCUUGUACAGGAUAGGUAGGAGCCGAAGAGACGUGUGCGCUAGCAUACGAGGAGGCAAUGGUGGGAUACUACCCUGGCUGUAUGACCAUUCUAACCCGCCACGCUUAGCGCGUGGGGAGACAGUGUCAGGUGGGCAGUUUGACUGGGGCGGUCGCCUCCUAAAGAGUAACGGAGGCGCCCAAAGGUUCCCUCAGAAUGGAUGGAAAUCAUUCGCAGAGUGUAAAGGCACAAGGGAGCUUGACUGCGAGACUGACAAGUCGAGCAGGGACGAAAGUCGGGCUUAGUGAUCCGGUGGUUCCGCAUGGAAGGGCCAUCGCUCAACGGAUAAAAGCUACCCCGGGGAUAACAGGCUUAUCUCCCCCAAGAGUCCACAUCGACGGGGAGGUUUGGCACCUCGAUGUCGGCUCGUCGCAUCCUGGGGCUGUAGUCGGUCCCAAGGGUUGGGCUGUUCGCCCAUUAAAGCGGCACGCGAGCUGGGUUCAGAACGUCGUGAGACAGUUCGGUCCCUAUCCGUCGCGGGCGCAGGAAAUUUGAGAGGAGCUGUCCUUAGUACGAGAGGACCGGGAUGGACACACCGCUGGUGUACCAGUUGUUCCGCCAGGAGCAUCGCUGGGUAGCUAUGUGUGGCAGGGAUAAACGCUGAAAGCAUCUAAGCGUGAAGCCCCCCUCAAGAUGAGAUUUCCCAUUUCUUCGGAAAGUAAGAUCCCUGAAAGAUGAUCAGGUAGAUAGGUUUGGAGUGGAAGUGUAGCGAUACAUGGAGCGGACAAAUACUAAUCGAUCGAGGACUUAACCAAAA
RNAcentral lists this ribosomal RNA (2037 nucleotides) under Listeria monocytogenes. RNAcentral describes it as "partial 23S ribosomal RNA". It matches the Rfam family "Bacterial large subunit ribosomal RNA", at positions 894 to 2925 of the family's 2925-position model. Lineage: Bacteria; Bacillati; Bacillota; Bacilli; Caryophanales; Listeriaceae. The record is from RNAcentral.